This 347-nucleotide ribosomal RNA is filed under the name uncultured bacterium. Its description in RNAcentral is "partial 16S ribosomal RNA". It matches the Rfam family "Bacterial small subunit ribosomal RNA", at positions 338 to 682 of the family's 1533-position model. The record is from RNAcentral.
CCUACGGGAGGCAGCAGUGAGGAAUAUUGGUCAAUGGGCGCGAGCCUGAACCAGCCAAGUAGCGUGAAGGAUGACUGCCCUACGGGUUGUAAACUUCUUUUAUAAAGGAAUAAAGUGAGGCACGUGUGCCUUUUUGUAUGUACUUUAUGAAUAAGGAUCGGCUAACUCCGUGCCAGCAGCCGCGGUAAGACGGAGGAUCCGAGCGUUAUCCGGAUUUAUUGGGUGUACAGGGAGCGUAGAUGGGUUGUUAAGUCAGUUGUGCAAGUUUGCGGCUCAACCGGAAAAUUGCAAUUGAUACGGGCAGCCUUGAGUACAGUUGAGGUAGGCGGCAUUCGUUGUGUCGCGGU